UGCAACAACCAAGCCUACACGCUGGUGUUC
This 30-nucleotide small RNA is filed under the name Bombyx mori (domestic silkworm). RNAcentral describes it as "ovarian small RNA-33298". The record is from RNAcentral. Lineage: Eukaryota; Metazoa; Arthropoda; Insecta; Lepidoptera; Bombycidae.